This is a non-coding RNA of Pelobates cultripes (western spadefoot toad), 209 nucleotides long. NCBI's taxonomy places the organism in Eukaryota, Metazoa, Chordata, Amphibia, Anura, Pelobatidae. The record is from the annotation of a GenBank genome assembly.
CAACAAUGCAUUUAAUCAAAGUUAUGAGAUUUUACUGCAAAUUAGUUUCUUAAAAUAUAAGAUGCCUUAUUGCUUUUGUUACAUCCAUGGCAUAUCACUGAUUUAAUGAGCUUGCUUCCCAUAAAGCUGUGACAUCAUAAAAGUUGCAGUUCUAAGAAGAGUAUUGUGAUUGAUUUUGAACAGAGUCACAGUGGAAGGCCACCUGGGAG